Molecule: ribosomal RNA, 253 nt
Filed under: uncultured microorganism
Description: partial 16S ribosomal RNA
Rfam family: Bacterial small subunit ribosomal RNA
Source: RNAcentral
UACGUAGGGUGCGAGCGUUAAUCGGAUUUACUGGGCGUAAAGCGUGCGCAGGCGGCCCGUUAAGACAGGUGUGAAAUCCCUGGGCUCAACCUAGGAAUUGCGCUUGUGACUGGCGGGCUCGAGUACGGUAGAGGGGGGUGGAAUUCCUGGUGUAGCAGUGAAAUGCGUAGAGAUCAGGAGGAACACCGAUGGCGAAGGCAGCCCCCUGGGCCUAUACUGACGCUCAUGCACGAAAGCGUGGGGAGCAAACAGG